GCUGCCCCUAGAGGCACUGCAGGUGUGGCUGCUGUGUCAUAUUGCGUCAGUAGGUGGCAGAGAGGAGAGAGGCUAGGUCUACCUAGGCUCAGUGUUCUGACCUAUGAACAUCUGAGUGACUAGUAGCCUAACAUG
Molecule: small nucleolar RNA, 135 nt
Organism: Grammomys surdaster
Lineage: Eukaryota; Metazoa; Chordata; Mammalia; Rodentia; Muridae
Product: small nucleolar RNA SNORA17
Exons: 1
Source: RefSeq, a predicted model, not a curated record